Non-coding RNA from Omnitrophica WOR_2 bacterium, 3613 nucleotides. The record is from Rfam. NCBI's taxonomy places the organism in Bacteria, Pseudomonadati, Candidatus Omnitrophota.
GGUCAAGCUACGAAGGGUCUAUGAGGGCUGACUUGGUUAUGCCAGGCGAUGAAGGGCGCGGUAAGCGGCGAUACUGCUCGGGGGAGCUGCAAACAAGCUUUGAUCCCGAGAUUUCCGAAUGGGGCAACCCAUCUUGAGUAAUGUCAAGAUACUUUAGCCUAAAAUUUAAAAUAGGGCUAAGGAGCGACACCUAGAGAACUGAAACAUCUAAGUAUCUAGAGGAAUAGAAAACGAAAGUGAUUUCCCCAGUAGCGGCGAGCGAAAAGGAAAAAGCCUAAACCCUGCCGCAAGGCAGGGGGUUGUGGGACUUUAAUGUGGUAGGUGAGGGAGUAGCUGAAGUGCAUGGAAAGGCACGCGAUACAGAGUAAAAGCCUCGUAUGCGAAAUUCCCAAACCGCCUAGAAGUAUCCCAAGUACUACGGGACACGUGAAACCCUGUAGGAAUCCAGGCCGACCAUGGCCUAAGGCUAAAUACUCGGCAUAAACCGAUAGCGCACAAGUACCGUGAGGGAAAGUUGAAAAGAACCCCGGUUAGGGGAGUGAAAUAGAACCUAAAAUCAUAGACCUACAAGCUGUUGAAGGGCUAUGCUCCGCUCGUAAGAGCGGAGAAUGCCUGACAGCGUACCUUUUGUAUAAUGGUCCGGCGAGUUGCUGUGUGGUGCAAGCUUAAGCCUUUCAUUAAUAGUGGAUGGCGACGGCGAAGCGAAAGCGAGUUCUAACAGAGCGAUUAAGUACCAUAUAGCAGACCCGAAACUGAGUGAUCUACCCAUGGCCAGAGUGAGCCUCGACGAAAGUCGGGGGGAGGCUCGAACCCAUCGGCGUUGAAAAACCGUGGGAUGAGUUGUGGGUUGGAGUGAAAGGCUAAACAAACUCAGAAAUUGCUGGUUCUCCUCGAAAUAGUUUUAGGACUAGCCUUGUGUUAACUACAUAGCGGGGGUAGAGUGCUGAAUGGACUAGGGACCUCACCAGGUUACCAAAUCCAACCAAACUCCGAAUACCGCUAUGACUAUCACAGGAGUAAGACGGUGGGGGCUAAGCUUCAUCGUCAAAAGGGAAACAGCCCAGAUCUCCAGCUAAGGUCCCUAAGUAUAGGCUAAGUGGUAAAGGAUGUGAGAUCGCUAAGACAAUCAGGAUGUUGGCUCAGAGGCAGCCAUCAUUUAAAGAGUGCGUAACAGCUCACUGGUCGAGCGAUUUUGCGCCGAAGAUAAUCGGGGCUUAAGCCUAUUACCGAAGCUGAGAAUUUAUCCGGAAUUCGUUUCGGAUAUCUGGUAGAGGAGCGUUCUGUCCUACAUUGAAGGCGUACCGUAAGGAGCGCUGGAGGAGACAGAAGUGAAUAUGUCGGAAUGAGUAGCGAAAACACCUGCGAGAAACAGGUGCACCGAAAGCCUAAGGUUUCCUGGGGAAGGUUAAUCCACCCAGGGUUAGUCGAUCCUAAGCUGAGGCUAUAAAAGCGUAAGCGAUGGAAGUGCCGUUAAUAUUCGGCAACCGGCUAAAUAGCGUUUGAACUAAUAAGUGACGCGGAAGGCAGGAGUCGGCCGAGUUUUGGAUGUCUCGGUUUUUGUCCCGGGGACGGGAUGAAGGGACCCGGAGGUUUCCGAAGGGGAAGUGAUUUUAUGCCAUACUGCCAAGAAAAGCUUAUUAGUGAGCUGUUUAGCUGCUCGUACCACAACCCGACACAGGUAGGCUUCCUGAGAAUGGUAAGGUGCUCGAGAGAACCCUCGUUAAGGAACUCGGCAAUCUAGCCUCGUAACUUCGGGAUAAGAGGUACCUCAGAUGGUCAGUUCAUUAGAAUAAAGCUGUCUGAGGUCACAGUAAAGUGGCCCGUGUGACUGUUUAGUAAAAACACAGCACUCUGCGAACUCGAAAGAGGAUGUAUAGGGUGUGAUACCUGCCCGGUGCUGGAAGGUUAACGAGAGCUGUCAGCCCGCCGCAAGGCGAGGUGAAGCGGCGAACCGAAGCCCCAGUAAACGGCGGCUGUAACUAUAACAGUCCUAAGGUAGCGAAAUUCCUUGUGGGGUAAGUUCCCACGCGCACGAAUGGUUUAACAACAUGGGCGCUGUCUCGACGAGGGUCUCGGCGAAAUUGUAGUGGCGGUGAAGAUGCCGUCUACCCGCAUCAAGACGAAAAGACCCCAGAACCUUUACUGUAGCCUGGUAUUGGAUUUUGGUUCAAUUUGCGUAGUAUAGGUGGGAGGCUUUGAGGCCUUGGUUUUGGCUGAGGCGGAGCCGCAAUGUGAAAUACCACCCUUGUUGAAUUAAGAUUCUAACUUCGACCUCUAUAUCGAGGCGGGAGACAGUUCCAGGCGGGCAGUUUGACUGGGGCGGUUCCCCUCUAAAAAGUAACGAGGGGGUUCCAAGGUUGGCUCACUGCGGUCGGCAAUCGCAGGUGGAGUGCAAAAGCAUAAGCCAGCUUAACUGCGCCUCCGACAGGAGAAGCAGAUACGAAAGUAGGAUUUAGUGAUCCGGUGGUAGAAUAUGGGAUCGCCAUCGCUCAACGGAUAAUAGGUACUCUGGGGAUAACAGGCUGAUCGCGCUCGAGAGUUCACAUCGACAGCGCGGUUUGGCACCUCGAUGUCGGCUCAUCGUAUCCUGGGGCUGGAUAAGGUCCCAAGGGUCCGGCUGUUCGCCGGUUAAAACGGUACGCGAGCUGGGUUUAGAACGUGGAUAACACUGCGUUUUUCCGUAGUAAUGCGGAAAUAGUAUUGACUUAUAUCGGUGGAGCCCGACUUACACAUACCGAACGUGUAAAGGGUAAUACCGAGGGAAGAUUAUAGAUGGAAGAAACGACCAAUGCGUAUAUUGCCGGUUUUCUUGACGGCGAUGGAAGCAUAAUGUUUCAGCUUAUUGAGCGCAAGGGCUACAUCUAUGGCUACCAGAUAAGGGCAAGUGUCUGCUUCUAUCAGAAGACUAACCAUAAAGACGGUUUAAUAUGGUUAAAAAAGCAAAUUGGUUUCGGGUAUAUACGAGACCGAAAUGACGGUGUAAGCGAUUACACGAUAGUUGGCUACGAUAGAGUAGAAGAAGUCUUGAAAUUGGUACAGCCAUAUGUAGUGUUCAAAGCUGUUCAUGCUGAGAAAGCAUUAAAGCUUUUAAGUAUGAUAAGAGAAAACAAUAAGCCAACUCCGGAGAAAUUCAUGAGUUUGGCAAAACUGGUUGAUUCUUACGCAAGCCUUAACUAUUCAAAAAAGAAAAUAAAUAACGCGAAAAAAGUAGAAGAAUUUUUGAAUAGAAAGGGUCUAUUAAUCCCCGUAACGACUGAUUCCUGUAAUAAGGAUGAGAUGGUUCUCAGUUCAUAAGAGCCAUAAUACGUCAACUCCUAGAAAUAGGAUGGAGAUAUAGUCUGUGCCACUGGUAACAGUGGAAUUAACAUGCGUGAGACAGUUCGGUCUCUAUCUGAUGUGGGUGUAAGGAUACUUGAAGAGGAGCUCCCUAUAGUACGAGAGGACCUGGGGAGACGGACCUCUAGUGUUUCAGUUGUCCUGCCAAGGGCAGAAGCUGAGUAGCUAUGUUCGGAAGGGAUAAGCGCUGAAAGCAUAUAAGCGCCAAGCCCCCCUCAAAAAUAGGUAUCCCUGUUUUGCAGCAAUGCAAGACUGAAGGCUGGCCGGAGACUACGGC